This 1478-nucleotide long non-coding RNA is filed under the name Trifolium pratense (red clover). Its description in RNAcentral is "long non-coding RNA (TPRA_LNC002313)". The record is from RNAcentral. Lineage: Eukaryota; Viridiplantae; Streptophyta; Magnoliopsida; Fabales; Fabaceae.
ACAGAUGCUGCCAGGGAAGAUUUUCUAAAAGCGCGUAAACAAGCCCCUGAAGAUAAAGCAAUUGCAAGAGAAUUGAAAUUACUUGCUGAACAUGACAAAGCUAUUUAUCAAAAGCAGAAAGAGAUCUAUAAAGGAAUAUUUGGACCAAGGCCACAACCAGUACCUAAGAAAAGGAAUUUGCUUUUACUUGUUUGGCAGUGGUUAGUUUCAGUGUUUUAUAGCUUUAUCACACUCUUCAACCGCGAAAAGAACAAAUCUGACUAAUGUAUUACUGUUGAAUAUCAAAACCAUUGUUGCGUUGACAAUUGUUUACGUGCAUCCUAUGAACGGCGACUGCAAUUUUUGCUACUGACGGAACAAUUGACAGAACAAUUCUGGUUUUGCUAUUACUAUUUAUCUUUGCUAGUGGAACAAUCAGAUGCCGGAAAAUGUCUGUAUUUCACACUUCUCUAGAGUAAUCGUGUUUUGACAAUUUUAUCAACCUAUUCUAUGAUUUGAAUAGUUUGUUCAUAAGCGUUAUUUUGGCCGAUUGAUCUUCCAAUAUGAUAGUUUGUUGAUUAAUUUAAUAUAUAAGGAGUAAGGACUAUCUGGAUCAACUUAUAAAUAACUGCCUGGAUUUAUCUAUUGGUAUAAAUAUUUGUUUGGAAUGUUCGAUAGAGAUUAUAGUAACAACUUAUUUCAAUAAGCUGCCCGUUAUAGCUUAUGAAAGUAGUUUUUAGCUUAUAUGAAAAUAUAUUGACUAUGUUGCCUCGAUUAGAUUGUAAUGACUCUUUGUCUUAGCUUCUUAGGAAUUCUUCCACUUUUUGUUCUGUAGAAACAUCAUAUGCAACCUUUGUAGCUGAGACACUGAACAUACAAAUGAUCUUUUUCUUGCUCCUAUGCUAAAUCUCUUUGGCUUUGGUUGGGUAACAUCUUCAACAUUGUUUUGAACUGCACUAGCUUUCAUCAAACUAGAAUGAUUGGGUUGCUAUAAAUUAUGGGUAUGCAAGAGAAUAAAUUCUAUUAUUAAUAACGGUAGCUCUAAUGGCUAUUUUAUAACAAUUCCAGAUGAAAUAUUUGCUUCAUCAUUUCAGAUUACAAUACAAAUCUCUUAGAAUUGAGUUUGCUUAUAAUUAACGACAUCUACAUUGAUGAAAAACACAUUUUGGAACAAAAGGAUGUUCGCACACAUACUUGGAACAAUGAGAAUCAUCUUUGCACCUCAUCCUUGCAAUUUCUGUAAUAUAAAAGAUAAGAAACAAAUAUUACUAUUAAAAGUGGUGAAUUAUUUUGUAUAAGAUAAACAAUAAAGCUCAAAAGGAAUAAAAAAUAUAUUUACCACUAGCAUCAACUACAACAAGAAAUAAGAAAAUUAAAAAGAUCACUAAAUAAACGAACUUAAAAAUUUGAGACAUAUUUUUCUCCUAUAGAAAUGUUUAUAAAUGUACUAUGUUUUGUUUAUUUGUUUCAAUUUUUUGCACUUAUAUAUCUUAAAAAAA